Long non-coding RNA from Arabidopsis thaliana (thale cress), 336 nucleotides. RefSeq annotates it as other RNA. NCBI's taxonomy places the organism in Eukaryota, Viridiplantae, Streptophyta, Magnoliopsida, Brassicales, Brassicaceae. The record is from RefSeq. The transcript has a single exon.
GGCAAAUAAGAUUAAUUAGUGUUCCUAAAAAAAAAUUAAGUCCAAAUUACGAAUGAAUUAAAUCAACCUUUUUCUUUUAUAGUAGUAUCUACUAAAACGUUGGCCAUGUUCUUUUGUUGAUUGCUGCGUCAGCUACCUGCGACCCAAAAAAAGUUCUCAUCUCUUUUUCACUUUCAUUUCUCAUUUUUUUCAUCUCUGCCGCAUCGACUGUAAUUCGGCCAUUCCGUAGACGCUGGAAUUUUCAGCGUCUCAAAUUCCCUUUCUCCUAUCUCUUCAGAUCUGUCGCUGCGACUCUUUCAUUCAUCUCACCUUCAUCUCUCUUUCUUUUUUUCUUUA